CCUACGGGAGGCUGCAGUGAGGAAUAUUGGUCAAUGGCCGGAAGUCUGAACCAGCCAAGUCGCGUGAGGGAAGAAGGCGCAAAGCGUCGCAGACCUCUUUUGCCGGGGGACAAAAGGCCGGACUCGUCCGGUCCUGAGGGUACCCGGUGAAAAAGCAUCGGCUAACUCCGUGCCAGCAGCCGCGGUAAUACGGGGGAUGCGAGCGUUAUCCGGGUUCAUUGGGUUUAAAGGGUGCGCAGGCGGGCCUUUCAGGCGGCGGUGAAAUCGCGGGGCUCAAACCCGCCGAGCCGUCGGCACUGGGGGCCUUGAGUGCGGGAGAGGAAGGCGGAAUGCGUGGUGUAGCGGUGAAAUGCAUAGAUAUCGCGCAGAACCCCGAUUGCGAAGGCAGCGUGCCGUGCCGCAACUGACGCUGAGGCACGAAAGCGCGGGGAUCGAACAGGAUUAGAUACCCCUGUAGUC
This 459-nucleotide ribosomal RNA is filed under the name uncultured bacterium. Its description in RNAcentral is "partial 16S ribosomal RNA". It matches the Rfam family "Bacterial small subunit ribosomal RNA", at positions 338 to 795 of the family's 1533-position model. The record is from RNAcentral.